UAGAAACCUCUCCAAUAUAUUCUUGUCCGAGCUCUACACUGCCAUUCCAGACUAACGAAAGGUCAGUGGUCUACAAAGCUCUAGUGAUCUCUACCCUUAGCUCUCAUUGAUAUCUAAUCAAGGGUAUUGAUUGCCUAGGCUGAAAUAGUUUUUCAAUGGUUGGGAUGAAGCGGUGGUAAUUUCCUUUCUGUUAGAUAAAGUUCUAAAUUUUUUAAAAUUUGUAAUAAUUAGCUCUGAUAUCCAAUAUCAUCUACGGAAAUACUACAAACUUGUAACGUCAUGUAGUUUGCUAUCGAAUCCUUAAAUCGAGGAUCACCUUGGUGAGAAUUAUAAAAACAUUUAUAAUUUUUUUAUUACCCACCGAGGUUCAAAAUUAUAUUUCGAUGAACCUCACUUCAACUUGUCAGGUAUUUCCUAGGCUCACACAAAAGAUAACACAAGUUCAACCAAUAUCGACCAAUAAAUAAUCUAUCAAAUAGACAAAUAGCUACAAUUAAUGACACGACCCACCCCGAAUUUCACUCUGAAACCCAGAGUAAGUCGUGCGGGGACCACCUCCAAGGAAAAUUUACUGAAAAGAUUAAGAAAAUCUCCCUUGCAGAUGGACAACCCUAACUCGAAAAUUUCAUAUUACACUCUUAAUUUAAUGCUUCUGAAUAUCACAUAAUAUACAAAAUUCUAAAGUAUUCAGAGCUACUAAACACAAGCGGAAGCAAGAAAACACGAGUAGGUUGAACAGGUAACCUACUGCUGAAAACUGGCCGAAAAGCGGGUGACUAUGCCUCGUCUCCUACUAGAUCCAACCCGAACUCUGCAGACUGGGCAAUUUAAAACGAAGGGCCCAGGGGAAAACAUUUAAUAACGUUAGAGUGAGUGGACAAAAAUAAAUUAAUAAUUAAAAUAUUUAUGUUUCCCCUAAUUAAUUUCUAAGGAAAAAUCGAAUGCAUGCCGCAAGCGAUAAAACUUUUAUCCCAUAAAAUAUCGAGCCUCUCAGACUCUAUAAUAUAUGUAUGUAUUUACACUCGUUCAUACUCCCUAUAUAAAUUCAUGGGUCUAUAUAGGGCUACUACGCUCGCGUCCAACGCUCACGUCACGCCUUAAUGCGGUGCUACACUACGCCAUCAAGGUGGACCGGGUCGGCCUUACCAACUAACGCCCAAUUACUAAAGGUUGGACUAGUACGGGUUAGUUACUAAAUUACUUGUGCCCACUACCCCUAUAAUGAAUUAACGACUCAUAGUAGGCUACUACGCUACGUCCAACGCUUACGUCACACCAUAAUGCGGCUAUAUGCUACGCCAUUAAGGUGGACAGACACAUAUGGCUAGCUAGCAUUUUCUAUACAUACUCUCUCAUAAAUACAUAUUUAUAUUCACCGAAAAUCCCAUUUUCGGUAACUCUCUCUCAGAGAAAUAAAAGCGUCAAAAUUAAUUGACGGCAAAAUUCCAACAAAAGGAAAUGUUCAAUCAUGAACCAUAGCAUGCAUAUUAUUUCAAAUAAAAGUCCN
This 1507-nucleotide long non-coding RNA is filed under the name Fragaria vesca (wild strawberry). Its description in RNAcentral is "long non-coding RNA (FVES_LNC000089)". The record is from RNAcentral. Lineage: Eukaryota; Viridiplantae; Streptophyta; Magnoliopsida; Rosales; Rosaceae.